Molecule: long non-coding RNA, 1742 nt
Organism: Mus spicilegus (steppe mouse)
Lineage: Eukaryota; Metazoa; Chordata; Mammalia; Rodentia; Muridae
Source: Ensembl
GUGCCUUCAGAAUCCAGAAGAGGGUUUUUGAUUCUUAACCAAUGAACUGUCCCUCUGGCCCUGCUUUAAAGCACUUACUGCUCCCCGAAGUUCAGUUCUCAGUGUACAGAUUGGGCGACUUAUAAUCCCCUGGAACUCCUGCCACAAGGACUCCAAUUCCCUGGCUUCUACAAGUGCUGUGUGUAUGCGUGCAGACAUAGACACCUACACAUAAUUAAAAAUAAUAAGAGACAAAUUCUUAAAGCAUCAACAGCUAAGGAUUUUGCUUAUCUCUAGAAGCUAGGCAGUGCCUCGGUGCAUGCUGUGAAAACCAGACCUUGUGCAUUUGUGUCUUCAGCCUUUCUGUCUCUUACUUACCUGGGAGCAGUUACUUAAAAUCCCGGUGCCUCUAUGUUAUCUGUUUAAAGCAGCCACCGCCACUGCUGCUGCUGUUGUAGUCGUCGUCGUCGUCAUCGUUGUCGUGGUCAUUGUGGUUUUUUCAUAGUCAUCAUCAUCAUCAACAACACCACCAUCAUUAUCAUCAUCAUGUCUGUAUCAGAACUUCAUGUGUUUUCUCAAAUAGAGCCUAAUACUCUGCUUAAUAUCCAUGAACACUAUCUUUUAAUGUUUCAUCAUUUAUUUUUUUAUUAUGAGUAUGUGUGAGUAAGUAUGUACAUGUGAGUGUAGGUGCUUGUGGUGGCAUUCCAACCUCCUGGAGCUGGAGUUGGAGGUGGUUAUGAGCCACCAGCCAUGAGUGCUGGGAACAAACCUUUGGGUCUUCUGUGAGAGCAGCUAGUGAUCUUAACCACAGUGCCAUGUCUCCAGCACCCUCAGAAAAUCUCAUUAUGAUUGUUAUAGAACCACUUAGCUAUUCCCUGAGAAAAACUGUUUCCCAACAGCAAAAUAAUAUCAUUUCAGUUGUAAAAUUUGGACAGAGGAACCCUGGGUCACAAAGGCAGGAGGCAGGAGGCAGGAGCAAUACAAGUCUCAAACCACUACAGGAGCAGGACUCAAAAGUGGACCAUGCACAUGAUACAACAUUCUAAGACACAGACUUUUAUUUUCACCAAUCAAGAGAGAAAAGCCAAGGGCUGGUGAGAUGCCUCCAUGGGUAGAAGACCCUGCCACCAAGCUGGAAGCCCUGAGCUUGAUUCCCAGGACCCAUUUGGGAGAAGGAGAGAACCCACUCUUCAAGGUUGCCCUCUGAUCUACAUAUUUAAUCUGUGGUGCCCUUGUGCACACAAAACAAAACAAAUAAUAGAAUUUUUUUUUUGUCUUUUUCUUUUGUUUUGUUUUUUGAGAUAGGGCUUCUCUGUGUGACAGCCCUGGGUCCUGAAAUUCCCUUUGUAGCCCAGGCUGGCCUUAAACUCAGAGAGAUCCACUUGCUUCUGCCUCCCAAGUACUGGUAAGAAAGGCACGUGCCACCAAUACCAGGCACAUUAAAAAUUUUAAGGAGGUAAAACUAAGACUAAGAAUAGAGAUUUUGUCUAAUGUGCUAUUGUUUGUUGUUUCCCAAUGUGGAGGGACUACAUUUGCUCUCACCCAGAACUCUCUACCCUCUCUGGGAUAGGGAGUGUUCAUUUGAAAUAGAAGAAGCUCACUACCCCUCAUCUCCUUCAGCUGGAUGGACCUGGAAACAGCAAGCCAGCAUCUGGACCAACUUGAAUAGCAUCUGGCACACCCACCACUCCCAUAAAUGAACUCUACUACAUUUCAACACGAGAACCUCACCAAAUAAAAUACAAUCUAAUUUAGAUGUGCCA